Molecule: unclassified non-coding RNA, 240 nt
Filed under: soil metagenome
Description: partial contains 5.8S ribosomal RNA, internal transcribed spacer 2, and large subunit ribosomal RNA
Source: RNAcentral
AACCUAGCACACCUGCGGUGUGUACCUGCGGAGGGAUCAUUACACAAAUUAAAAUAUGAAGGCUUCGGCUGGAUUAUUUUUAUCACCCUUGUCUUUUGCGCACUUGUUGUUUCCUGGGCGGGUUCGCCCGCCACCAGGACCACACCAUAAACCUUUUUUAUGCAGUUGCAAUCAGCGUCAGUAUAACAAAUGUAAAUCAUUUACAACUUUCAACAAUGGAUCUCAGAUCGGAAGAGCACA